UCCUACGGGAGGCAGCAGUGGGGAAUAUUGCACAAUGGGCGAAAGCCUGAUGCAGCGACGCCGCGUGAGCGAUGAAGGCCUUCGGGUCGUAAAGCUCUGUCAUAUGGGAAGAAUAUUGACGGUACCAUAGGAGGAAGCCCCGGCUAACUACGUGCCAGCAGCCGCGGUAAUACGUAGGGGGCAAGCGUUGUCCGGAAUUACUGGGCGUAAAGGGUCAGUAGGCGGCCUAAUAAGUUAGGGGUUAAAGCCCUCGGCUCAACCGAGGUAAGCCUUUAAAACUGUUAGGCUUGAGUGCAGGAGAGGAGAGUGGAAUUCCUAGUGUAGCGGUGAAAUGCGUAGAUAUUAGGAGGAACACCAGUGGCGAAGGCGACUCUCUGGACUGCAACUGACGCUGAGGCACGAAAGCGGGGGGAGCGAACAGGAUUAGAUACCCUGGUAGUCCACGCCGUAAACGAUGAGUGCUAGGUGUUGGGGUCGACAGGCUUCGGUGCCGCAGUUAACACAUUAAGUACUCCGCCUGGGGAGUACGGUCGCAAGACUGAAACUCGAAAGAAUUGACGG
Molecule: ribosomal RNA, 561 nt
Filed under: uncultured bacterium
Lineage: Bacteria
Description: bacterial SSU rRNA
Rfam family: Bacterial small subunit ribosomal RNA
Source: RNAcentral